RNAcentral lists this ribosomal RNA (497 nucleotides) under uncultured bacterium. RNAcentral's name for it is "partial 16S ribosomal RNA". It matches the Rfam family "Bacterial small subunit ribosomal RNA", at positions 28 to 507 of the family's 1533-position model. The record is from RNAcentral.
GAUGAACGCUGGCGGCGUGCCUAAUACAUGCAAGUCGAGCGAACAGACGAGGAGCUUGCUCCUCUGACGUUAGCGGCGGACGGGUGAGUAACACGUGGAUAACCUACCUAUAAAACUGGGAUAACUUCGGGAAACCGGAGCUAAUACUGGAUAAUAUAUUGAACCGCAUGGUUCAAUAGUGAAAGACGGUUUUGCUGUCACUUAUAGAUGGAUCCGCGCCGCAUUAGCUAGUUGGUAAGGUAACGGCUUACCAAGGCAACGAUGCGUAGCCGACCUGAGAGGGUGAUCGGCCACACUGGAACUGAGACACGGUCCAGACUCCUACGGGAGGCAGCAGUAGGGAAUCUUCCGCAAUGGGCGAAAGCCUGACGGAGCAACGCCGCGUGAGUGAUGAAGGUCUUCGGAUCGUAAAACUCUGUUAUUAGGGAAGAACAAAUGUGUAAGUAACUAUGCACGUCUUGACGGUACCUAAUCAGAAAGCCACGGCUAACUACGUG